GAUGAACGCUGGCGGCGUGCCUAAUACAUGCAAGUCGAACGGGGAGUAUUAAUUUCGAUUUUUUACUCCUAGUGGCGAACGGGUGAGUAACACGUAGGUGACCUGCCUCGAAGACGGGGAUAACCGCUGGAAACGGCGGCUAAUACCCGAUGGUCUCGGCGAUUCGGUUCGUCGAGUAAAGCUCCGGCGCUUCGAGAGGGGCCUGCGGCCCAUCAGCUUGUUGGUAGGGUAAUGGCCUACCAAGGCAAAGACGGGUAGGGGGCGUGAGAGCGUGACCCCCCACACUGGCACUGGGACACGGGCCAGACUCCUACGGGAGGCAGCAGUGAGGAAUAUUGCCCAAUGGGCGAAAGCCUGAGGCAGCAACGCCGCGUGGGUGAUGAAGGCCCUCGGGUCGUAAAACCCUUUUCUGGGGGAAGAGAAAGGACGGUACCCCAGGAAUAAGUCUCGGCUAACUAUGUG
Molecule: ribosomal RNA, 462 nt
Filed under: uncultured bacterium
Lineage: Bacteria
Description: bacterial SSU rRNA
Rfam family: Bacterial small subunit ribosomal RNA
Source: RNAcentral